Molecule: transfer-messenger RNA, 208 nt
Filed under: Methylorubrum extorquens AM1
Lineage: Bacteria; Pseudomonadati; Pseudomonadota; Alphaproteobacteria; Hyphomicrobiales; Methylobacteriaceae
Also listed under: 4 other names
Description: transfer-messenger RNA Methy_extor_PA1
Rfam family: Alphaproteobacteria transfer-messenger RNA
About the family: Bacterial tmRNA, also known as 10Sa RNA or SsrA, is named for its dual tRNA and mRNA-like properties. Its role is to liberate the mRNA from a stalled ribosome.
Source: RNAcentral
GGGGGCGAAAUAGGAUCGACGAGGGCGUAAAGGGUGAACUUUCGCUCGGCAUGGUUCCGCCGUUAUCGGGCCUUUGCAAUAGUUGCCAACGACAACUUUGCUCCGGUGGCUGUCGCCGCGUAAGCGGUGCCAAAAACCGACCUAAAGUCCUAGCGGGUAGCACCGCAUAGGCGGGGUUCGGAGGUACCUGGCAACAGAAACCUCCACU